CCUACGGGUGGCUGCAGUGGGGAAUAUUGCACAAUGGGCGCAAGCCUGAUGCAGCCAUGCCGCGUGUGUGAAGAAGGCCUUCGGGUUGUAAAGCACUUUCAGCGGGGAGGAAGGCGGUGAGGUUAAUAACCUCAUCGAUUGACGUUACCCGCAGAAGAAGCACCGGCUAACUCCGUGCCAGCAGCCGCGGUAAUACGGAGGGUGCAAGCGUUAAUCGGAAUUACUGGGCGUAAAGCGCACGCAGGCGGUCUGUCAAGUCGGAUGGGAAAUCCCCGGGCUCAACCUGGGAACUGCAUUCGAAACUGGCAGGCUAGAGUCUUGUAGAGGGGGGUAGAAUUCCAGGUGUAGGGGUGAAAGGCGUAGAGAUCGGGAGGAAUACCGGUGGCGAAGGCGGCCCCAUGGACAAAGACUGACGCUCAUGUGCGAAAGCGUUGGGAGCAAACAGGAUUAGAUAGCCCGGUAGUC
This 465-nucleotide ribosomal RNA is filed under the name uncultured Klebsiella sp. RNAcentral's name for it is "bacterial SSU rRNA". It matches the Rfam family "Bacterial small subunit ribosomal RNA", at positions 338 to 795 of the family's 1533-position model. Lineage: Bacteria; Pseudomonadati; Pseudomonadota; Gammaproteobacteria; Enterobacterales; Enterobacteriaceae. The record is from RNAcentral.